AUGCCCAGUGAUUAUAAAAAGACGCGUUAUUCUGAGGAACAAAACCUGCUACCAGUCUUUCCUCUACCUUGUGCUCUACCUUUUAUCUACAUCUUUCUUUUAUUCUUCCUCCACUCCUCCUCUCCUCUUCAGAUUGGUAGCUGGCCCGCUGACUGCGAUUAUGAGAUAUGAGGGCAU
Molecule: small nucleolar RNA, 177 nt
Organism: Plectropomus leopardus (leopard coralgrouper)
Lineage: Eukaryota; Metazoa; Chordata; Actinopteri; Perciformes; Serranidae
Product: small nucleolar RNA SNORD97
Source: RefSeq, a predicted model, not a curated record